UACGAAGGGGGCUAGCGUUGCUCGGAAUCACUGGGCGUAAAGGGUGCGUAGGCGGGUCUUUAAGUCAGGGGUGAAAUCCUGGAGCUCAACUCCAGAACUGCCUUUGAUACUGAAGAUCUUGAGUCCGGAAGAGGUAAGUGGAACUGCGAGUGUAGAGGUGAAAUUCGUAGAUAUUCGGAAGAACACCAGUGGCGAAGGCGGCUCACUGGCCCGGUACUGACGCUGAGGUGCGAAAGCGUGGGGAGCAAACAGG
Molecule: ribosomal RNA, 253 nt
Filed under: uncultured bacterium
Lineage: Bacteria
Description: partial 16S ribosomal RNA
Rfam family: Bacterial small subunit ribosomal RNA
Source: RNAcentral